AUGAAGCUCCUGGCACUCUAUGGCUUUUUGUUUGUCUUACUUUUGUGCCUCAGUGCCUUUACUGCAGAAGGUCGGAAGGUUAAAAAAGUCUGCUGUUCAAAACUAGCCAAAGUCAACAAAAAGGCAACUAAAGGUGUGCCUUCCAAGACGGCUCCAGUGCAAACAAGGAAACACUGCAAGCCUUGUGCUCAGCCAGACCCUCUGCGAAUUCCUGGACCCCUUCCGCGGUUAAAAUAAGACUGAGCGGGGUGAAGAAGAGCAUCUGCCUGCCAGCACAUCUCACAGUGCUUCACUUGGUUGAGGGUCUUCCUUUUACAGAUAGGGCCUGAAUGUAUGCUAUUCUUCUUUUAGUUGGGAGGGGCUUCAGUGAAUAAUGCUUACUCAGUCCCCCAGGCUCCUUCAUCCUGUUAACAUUAACCUGCCAUCUAAAGGGACAGGUAAAGCUGUCUGGCUGCUACUGGAUUUUUUCAGUUGCAUAUUCCUCUACCAAACAGGGAUUUAGCUCCCCAAACAAGACAGAUGAGAGCUGGCUGUAUUGCUUUGGACUGCAUUUUUAGAUGGGGAAGGGCUGAAGUUACUGUCUCUAGUUAUCAGUGUAUAUAUAUAUUUAACCUUUUAUAUGAAUAACUUCUUAUAAAUAGAUAAAUGGAUUUUCUUUGUAGCUAGGCACAUGAUGAAUUUGUUCCUGCAACAUUUGCUCUUAGUGCUUAAAAUCCACUUGGAAGUGGAUUUCUAUCAAGUGAGAAAGAACUUAUGAUUUAGAAAGGGUUGAGAAACUAGAUUCCAAUAGUUGGGAAGGACCAGAGGACCAGAUUCAAGUACAGUGGCAAGCAUUUUAAUGUCUGGGGUUGGGGAGGGAAAAACACCUGUUCUUUAACUUCCCAGAAGAAUGUCAUUAGCCGGUUAUUAAAAAGUAUUCUGGAAAGGUGUAAGGCUAAUCAGAUUAUUUUUUUUUUUUUCCUCCUGAAGCCAGAAGGCAAUUGUUUUUACAAGGCACUUGAGUUGUGUGAUCAUGCUGAUAAACAAAACUCACUGGAGUAUGAAAUUAAACAAAUGUUAAGAAUAAUACCAAAGGGCUGAAUAAAAGAGAAACAGAAAUACUCCCUGCUAAUACCAUUAACAGUCACUGGGAUCUUUUCUCUGGUGUCUCCUGUCCUUUUUCUAGCUGUCUCCUGCAUAUGCUGCUAUUUCUGUGCCCAGGGUGAGUCCUUAAGCCAGAAUUAAUUGGAGGUUUAUGAAUUUGGCUUUCCUUCUAAUGAAUGUGACAAGGUGUGGAAAGCUUUUUCUGCUCUUGGGCAAAUAGCACUUUGAAAAUAGUAAUUUUACUCUCAAUACUCAGAGUAAUGCUAUUUCCCUAAGGUAAUUUCCUGUAUGAUAAAGAUGGUCUCAGUGCCCUUUAGUAAUCUGGGGGAGUUGAAUGGGGAUGGUCAUAUGCCUGUUGUAACCACCUUCAGGUAAAUGUGUUUCCUGUGAGUCAAAUUAAUGGGCACUUACAUUUGGCUGUGCUUUCUCAUGGUCAGUGUUUCAAUUGUUCAGUACAAUAGAAGCAAUUUCUAGAACUCCUACGUGCUUGUUAUUACUUUAUUUUCUUACUGCUCUUGUGAUUAGGUAGAUCUGACCCUCAUCUUCCUAGUUUUGAGCUGACCAUGCACAGCAUUUUCAUAUCAAGACUAAAAAGGAUCCUCCAAUCCUCACAGGAUCUUAGCCAAGAGGUUGGUGAAUGAGCUGUUUUAUAAUUCUGCUACCAAUCUUUGGGCAAAC
Molecule: long non-coding RNA, 1761 nt
Organism: Cairina moschata (Muscovy duck)
Lineage: Eukaryota; Metazoa; Chordata; Aves; Anseriformes; Anatidae
Source: Ensembl